AUUGAACGCUGGCGGCAGGCCUAACACAUGCAAGUCGAGCGAGAGGCGGACGGGUGAGUAAUGUAUGGGGACUGCCCGAUAGAGGGGGAUAACUACUGGAAACGGAGGCUAAUACAGCAUACUGUCGGAUAACCCAUAUGGGAUUAGCUAGUAGGUAAGGUAAUGGAUUACGUAGGCGACGAUCCCUAGCUGGUCUGAGAGGAUUAUCAGCCACACUGGGACUGGUACACUGCCCAGACUCCGACGGAGGCAGCAGUGGGGAAUAUUGCACAAUUGGCGCAAUCCUGAUGCAGCCAUGCCGCGUGUAUGAAGAAGGCCCUAGGGUUGUAAAGUACUUUCAGUCGGGAGGCGUUACCGACAGAAGAAGCACCGGCUAACUCCGUGCCAGCAGCCGCGGUAAUUC
RNAcentral lists this ribosomal RNA (403 nucleotides) under uncultured bacterium. RNAcentral's name for it is "partial 16S ribosomal RNA". It matches the Rfam family "Bacterial small subunit ribosomal RNA", at positions 30 to 526 of the family's 1533-position model. The record is from RNAcentral.